GGAUAAACUAUUCAAAAUAGAUGUAAUUAUAUGCUGCAUGGUUGCAAAUUUUCACUGGACACUAACAAAGCUACUUAAAACAGAGGUACGGAGUUUCGGAAAAAAUUAAAGUAUUAAAAUUGCCACAAGCAUUGCAAGAUGACAACAUAUCAUGUGGAGUCUUCUACAUUAAGUUUGCUGAGAACUUUAUAAAUGAGGAAGAUUUGGUGCAGUCUUUUUCACUCGAAGAACUAAACGAAUAUCAAAAAGACGUGGUACAGUUUUUAUUGGAUAAGGGAGGUCAAGAAAAUUGGAAUGAAACAGUGUGUCGAAUUUGUGGCCAAUUCGAAGGACCUAAAAAAAAUCAAAAUCAAAAGAUUGAUAAAUGGAUUAUAUGCGAUAUCUGCAAGCCAGUUAGACGGUUCCACCAAGCAUGUAUUUUGUAUGAGAAAGAAAAAAAUGUGUUUACGUGCACAAAGAUUUUUAUUUUACAGGACAGGAGUUAAAAGAAAGAUGCAAAAAG
This is a non-coding RNA of Hydra vulgaris (swiftwater hydra), 502 nucleotides long. Lineage: Eukaryota; Metazoa; Cnidaria; Hydrozoa; Anthoathecata; Hydridae. The record is from RefSeq and is a predicted model, not a curated record.